GACAGAGGUGCCAAGCGUUAGGCGGAAUCACUGGGCUUAAAGCGUGUGUAGGCGGCUGCCUAAGUACCUUGUGAAAUCCCACGGCUCAACCGUGGAACUGCUGGGUAUACUGGGUGUCUUGGGUCAGCUAGGGGUUGCCGGAACAAAUGGUGGAGCGGUGAAAUGCGUAGAGAUGUGGAGGAGCACCGGUGGCGAAGGCGGCGUCCUGGACCAAUACUGACACUGAAACGCGAAAGCCAGGGGAGCAAACGGG
Molecule: ribosomal RNA, 253 nt
Filed under: uncultured bacterium
Lineage: Bacteria
Description: partial 16S ribosomal RNA
Rfam family: Bacterial small subunit ribosomal RNA
Source: RNAcentral